AGCUUUGCACAGUGGCAGUAUCGUAGCCAAUGAGGUUUAUCUGAGGCGCGAUUAUUGCUCAUUGAAAAACUACGUAAGAGCUC
RNAcentral lists this small nuclear RNA (83 nucleotides) under Pongo abelii (Sumatran orangutan). RNAcentral's name for it is "U4 spliceosomal RNA (ENSPPYG00000027091.2)". It matches the Rfam family "U4 spliceosomal RNA", at positions 1 to 83 of the family's 138-position model. From Rfam's summary of the family: U4 small nuclear RNA (U4 snRNA) is a component of the major U2-dependent spliceosome. The structure of U4 snRNA from yeast and human has been reported. U4 snRNA presents a k-turn RNA motif in the 5p-SL related to recognition of Snu13 protein. The record is from RNAcentral. Lineage: Eukaryota; Metazoa; Chordata; Mammalia; Primates; Hominidae.